GAAAAUAUUCUCAUGUCCUUCAAACGAGGUAUACAACAUAUCUUUAUCUUUACUAUAUUAUUAUGGAUAUUGCCACUUCUUGAAAAUUAAGAGGUACAACUAUCUAUUUGGACAUAAUAUAAUCAUAUUAAGCUUACAAUCUACAAUCGUAUACGCUAUUAACUCCGAGGAUGUUGAAAACCCUAAUUUCCUCUGCACGCUACCAAUUGCCGCCAAACAACAUCUCUUCUGUCUCCCUCUUUGCUCUCUACAGUAUCCGACAACCCUCUGUUACCACCAACUUCUUGACGCCGUGGGCCGUGUGUAAUUUUUUUGUCUAGGCUUUUUACAAGACCUCCUCAUUUGAAUUCCCUGCAAUAUUAUCCUAUGAUAACUGGUAAAUUGAAAUUCCUGUUCAUCCCUAUCUCCCUUAAUGGCUUAUGCCAUGCCAUUAUGCUGAACUAUUCUCCACUUAUUGAUUUUUUGGGAUCUUGAAUGGCAUCUUCUCCAUCACCAAAACCAGAACCUGUUUGGGCAAGAAGAGGCCUUUUUUUUAUUCCAUUGAUGACUUUGUUUUGUUUCCAUAUGUGAAGAGGUCUGUUAGGGUUUUUUUUGUCGACGUGAUUUAUGAUGUUAUUUUUAUAUUUCAGAUUCAUAUUCUCAAUCAUUAAUCUGAACUUGAACCCGAAACAUCUUCUAUCCUCUCUAUCAAUAUUUUGUUUUCUUUGUUUACUGUAGCUAUCGAAUUCUAUCCAUGUGCCUAGAAGGUGUUUGUAGAAACACCUCAAUGAAGUCAAGAAUAUAUAUAAGUUUUGUCAUUAUCACUUGUAACACCUAGAAUGUUUUCUGAGAUCUUGAGGUUUCUCACACAACAACUCUUUUUCUUCCUAUGAAUCCUUAUUUUGAAAGAAAUAUGUUUUAUGCACUCAAAGUAUUUUGCAUUUUUUGGUUUACCUUAUUGUUUCAGUUUUAGGGCAUUUUGAUUCAGUUGGAAGACAUACAUGGAGGAGAUGAAGAGAAAGGUGGAGUUUGACAUCACAUUAAUGAAUUAGAUUGACAUCCUAAGUUUAUGUAUUUCUCGAGCUUUGGUAUUCAUUGCAAGAAACAUAUUUGGAUUUUGUAAUGGAGUAUAAGUUUGCAAGUGGAAGUUCACAUCAUGCAUGUUGGAGAUGGUUUGUUACAUAAGCUCGGAUAGGUAAAAGUUGGAUUAUGCUUCUUAAUAAGCUUCUCGUAUAAUUUAUUGGAUUGAUUCAUAUGAUUAUGUGAUGCUUGGCUUAUGACAGUGGAAAAGUUCACUCUGUUACAACACAAGGCUUUCAUAUUUUGUUUUGUUUAAUAUAUCAUCAUACUCAUUUUUUUUUCUAUUUAUAAACUAAGUAAUCUUUAUAGGAAAUUGGAGAUUUUUUUAUAGCCGCAUGUCUCUAAUAUUAUUUAAUAUUUACGGGAAGUUGGAUGUGUGGGUGUGAUGGGCGAUUAUCUCAUUGCUUUGAUAAAAUUAUGGUAAAGUAUUUUCAUUUUUUCUUAAUAUUCUCCUGUAGCAUUAUUUCAUUUUAUUAAAUCAUUGACCUUUUAAAUUUUUUAUUAAACAAAGAUCAAAUCUCAUUAGUGAAGGUUCUGUUCUCAUGAAAAUAUUUGAGCUUUUGCAGGCAUGAAUCCAAGGAACACAUUAUUGAAGGCACAAAGAAUAGUAGUUUCAUCACAAUUUCAUAUGAUGAGGUAUUACAGUUUGAUCCCAUAAACAGGGUCUGAUCCUCCAUUUUUAAUGAAGUUUGUGCAUUUUUUGUGACUUCACCUAAUUUUGUGUCUAAAGCAAAUUAUUUAGUUGAGACUUAAACUCAUAAAUCAUAACAAUAAGCUUUUUUUACAACCUGACCAUUCUGGAUCAAAAGUUGUAUCAUUCACAUGAUGUCGUAAUUAUUAGGAGUGAAAAUAAUGCUGUAAUUAUUGGGAUGUUCAGCUGUAAUAAUAAGUCUAAAGGGUAUAAUGGUCCAAUUUUUGUUGUUCUUAAAAGUUUCAAGGCUUUUUAUGGUUUUAUGCUUCAAGGUUGGUUUUAUUGGAAUAAAAAAAGAGGAAAAAAUGAGUAGAAAAAAGGGGUUUAUUAAAGGGGCUCAGCUAUUCCAAUACAAAAAAUUUCAAGCAAGGGUAUUUUGGUCUUUGUUUGUUGUUUCGAUUUUUUUUAAAGGUAACAGGUUUGGUUUUAUUUGCUGGAAACAUAAAGAUUAUGUUUGUUUUGAGAUGUUGGGGAUUAGAUUAAAUGGAAUAAAUUAACUUGGAGCGAAGUUGAUUUCAGUAAAGGGUAUUUUUGUCCUUUUCAGAAAUUAAGCAGGAAGUUUUGUUUUUUUUUUCCAAAAUUGCAUCUAAAAUAAAUUUACUUGCUUUGUUUGAUUAAGUCAUAAUCAUCAAAAAGGCUUCUUGUUGUUUCUCAUGCGAUGCACCAUAAAAAAAAAAUUAUUAUUAUUGAUGCAUCAAAGAUUUAAUUACUAUUUGGAAUUUAAGAAAAGAAGAUUGGACUUGGGAUGUUUUGGGGUUUCAUGCAUAUAGUGGGCCUUUUUGGAGUAGAUAUGAACUUGUUUUUUGGAACUAUGGUAUAUAUUGGAUUUAUUAUCAUAUAUUUCUCAAAAUUGGUUUUAAAACAAAAAUCAACGGAUUUUAUAAUCUUUUCGGUUAAAAUCCGAACCGUUUAGUUGUUCAAUUUUAUAACUAUCCACAAAAAAGAUAAAUAAAAUAAAAGUCUCAAAAAAUCGAAUCGAAGAAAUAUAUUUUUUCGGUUCAAGCUUGAAUUUAUUAGAUGGUUGGUUUUAUGUUUUUAUCCCAAAAUUAUAAUAAUAUGGUGUUGAAUAUUUUUAUUCGGGUUAAUCUCUUUAAUAUUGUGAAUAAAUUGUAUGAUAU
Molecule: long non-coding RNA, 2868 nt
Filed under: Lactuca sativa (garden lettuce)
Lineage: Eukaryota; Viridiplantae; Streptophyta; Magnoliopsida; Asterales; Asteraceae
Description: long non-coding RNA (LSAT_LNC006292)
Source: RNAcentral